RNAcentral lists this ribosomal RNA (403 nucleotides) under uncultured bacterium. Its description in RNAcentral is "partial 16S ribosomal RNA". It matches the Rfam family "Bacterial small subunit ribosomal RNA", at positions 28 to 526 of the family's 1533-position model. The record is from RNAcentral.
GACGAACGCUGGCGGCGUGCCUAAUACAUGCAAGUCGAACGCAGUGGGGACGGGUGAGUAACACGUGGGUAACCUCCCAUCAGAGGGGAUAACACUUGGAAACAGGUGCUAAACCGAUACUGAUGGAUGGACCCGCGGUGCAUUAGCUAGUUGGUGAGGUAACGGCGCACCAAGGCCAAGAUGCAUAGCCGACCUGAGAGGGUGAUCGGCCACACUGGGACGUAGAGCCGGCCCUGACUCCGUCGGGAGGAAGCAGUAGGGAAGCGUCGGCAAUGGACGAAAGUCUGACCGAGCAACGCCGCGUGAGUGAAGAAGGUUUUCGGAUCGUAAAACUCUGUUGUUAGAGAAGCGGUAUCUAACCAGAAAGCCACGGCUAACUACGUGCCAGCAGCCGCGGUAAGUC